AGGUUAAGUCAAGUGAGAACGAUGAGA
RNAcentral lists this non-coding RNA (27 nucleotides) under Homo sapiens (human). Lineage: Eukaryota; Metazoa; Chordata; Mammalia; Primates; Hominidae. The record is from RNAcentral.